AGCGCAAAGCUCAAAUUUGAAAACCCUCGGGAUUGUAAUUUGAAGAUUUG
RNAcentral lists this ribosomal RNA (50 nucleotides) under Yarrowia lipolytica. Its description in RNAcentral is "partial 26S ribosomal RNA". The record is from RNAcentral. Lineage: Eukaryota; Fungi; Ascomycota; Dipodascomycetes; Dipodascales.